GUACACUCCUGCGGGAGGCAGCAGUGGGGAAUAUUGGACAAUGGGCGCAAGCCUGAUCCAGCCAUGCCGCGUGAGUGAUGAAGGCCCUAGGGUUGUAAAGCUCUUUCACCGGAGAAGAUAAUGACGGUAUCCGGAGAAGAAGCCCCGGCUAACUUCGUGCCAGCAGCCGCGGUAAUACGAAGGGGGCUAGCGUUGUUCGGAAUUACUGGGCGUAAAGCGCACGUAGGCGGAUCGAUCAGUCAGGGGUGAAAUCCCAGGGCUCAACCCUGGAACUGCCUUUGAUACUGUCGAUCUGGAGUAUGGAAGAGGUGAGUGGAAUUCCGAGUGUAGAGGUGAAAUUCGUAGAUAUUCGGAGGAACACCAGUGGCGAAGGCGGCUCACUGGUCCAUUACUGACGCUGAGGUGCGAAAGCGUGGGGAGCAAACAGGAUUAGAAACCCGGGUAGUCCCAU
Molecule: ribosomal RNA, 451 nt
Filed under: uncultured organism
Description: partial 16S ribosomal RNA
Rfam family: Bacterial small subunit ribosomal RNA
Source: RNAcentral